CCUUUGAGCAGCCCCAGCUGAUGGAGCUGUCCUGCCAAGCCCUGCCCAAAGAGGAAGAGACUUGCAUUAUCUCAGAAGACACUUUGGACUUGGACUUUUGGAUUAAUGGUGGCACGAGAAAAUAUUUCAAGAGCGACAGAAGAGGUAACAACAAGAUGUGAAAGGAACUAAAAGCAAUUCAGCCGCCACCAGAGCAAUUCACAAAGGUCAGUUCUAUUCAGUAACACGAUACAUUCUUAUAAAAUACAACACGUGCAUAAAAAUAGAAGACAGUCUACUUGUUUCUGAAUGUAUGGAAAGACCCUUUGGUUAUAUAUUAUAAAUUACUUACCAUUUUCACUUUGUAUUGUUCCAGAUUUAACAUAAUUGAUAAAUGUAUUUUUAGGAUUCAUGAAUAGUUUUGUGGGAGUUAUUCAGUUCAGGAAAAGGUAAAUUGGAAAUUUUACCUAGAAAUAUAAAUCUUGUGUAUAAAAUUGAUACUUUAUGAACACAUUAAUGAGACAUUUUCAGUUUUUAGGAGAUCAGCGACAAAUCUUUAGUGGAAGUCAGGAGUCCAUAAAUCCUUUCUGGAUGUCUUUUUUACUUGUUUUGUUUCAACAGUUUUAGUUAAAUAGGAAGUAGGCAAGUGUUAACUACUAAGUGUCUCUUUUAUUUCCUGCUGUAAUGUAGGAGUGUUUUAUGGCAUACUCACUUUCCAAAUUAUAGUGACUAGUAAUGGUUUUAUAUGACAAUUUGUAAUCAUAAGAGAUGGUUCUGAUGUAUAACAGAAUGGGAAAGCCAGCAGAUUAUUAACACAUUGUAAAUUGGGAAUUACCUGCUGUCGUACAGCACAUUAGCAAAUUGUCAUCAGACAAUGACCUCUUCUUCAUGUAGAUGUAUAUUAUUUAGGAGACAAUGGAAUUUUCUUUUGACAGGUAUUCUUUUUAAUAACCUUGAGAAAAGACAUGUUCAUAUGUCAUUCCUCUACACUAACUGAGA
Non-coding RNA from Callithrix jacchus (white-tufted-ear marmoset), 978 nucleotides. Lineage: Eukaryota; Metazoa; Chordata; Mammalia; Primates; Cebidae. The record is from RefSeq and is a predicted model, not a curated record.